CAGACAGGUGAAAGUCACUGUGAGGUGACGUUUUGUGGAAGGGCCUUGGCUGCUGCUGACUAAGCCCAGGGUAAAUGCCCACUUGCCUCCUUGGGCUGGCUGGCUCCUGACCGUGACCGCACCAGCUUCGAGGUUCCUGGCACCUUCUGACACUGGCCCCGGGCUCCCCCCACGUCUGCCCGUUGCUGCCCACCCUGGACGGAGGCAUCUGGUCAGCUUCAAGCGCCGCCUCCUGCCCCCCCAGUCUGGCCGCCAUCUCCAUAAACUGGAACAGAUUUGGUCAUAAUGAUCUCUCCUCCAAGGGCUGCCGUGCAGACGAUGUGAUGGGGCCCACACGAGGUUCUCGGAGGAGGGUGUGCAUCUGUCUUCUGCUUGGUUCUCGGUGAAUGCUCCCUGUCCCCACGAAGGGGCCCGGGGUGGCAGGGCAGCUCAGGAGGCAUCGUGAUGCUCCCUGGUGGCCUCUCAGUAACCUCUGUGCCACUUGGGCUGCUGUGGCUCUUGUCCCGCUCGGCCACUAUGAACAAAGCUGCUAUGACAUCCAUGUGUGGGCAUUUGGGCAGACAUCCCUUCUCAACUCCUUUGGGUGAAUCU
This 591-nucleotide long non-coding RNA is filed under the name Equus caballus (horse). RNAcentral describes it as "lncRNA (ENSECAG00000045806.1)". Lineage: Eukaryota; Metazoa; Chordata; Mammalia; Perissodactyla; Equidae. The record is from RNAcentral.